RNAcentral lists this ribosomal RNA (301 nucleotides) under uncultured bacterium. RNAcentral's name for it is "partial 16S ribosomal RNA". It matches the Rfam family "Bacterial small subunit ribosomal RNA", at positions 509 to 807 of the family's 1533-position model. The record is from RNAcentral.
CAGUAGCCGCGGGAAUACGAAGGGGGCUAGCGUUGUUCGGAAUUACUGGGCGUAAAGCGCACGCAGGCGGCUCGAUAAAUUAGAAGUGAAAGCCUUGGGCUUAACCUGAGAAUUGCUUUUAAGACUGUCGAGCUUGAAUCCAGAAGAGGGUAGUGGAAUUCCGAGUGUAGAGGUGAAAUUCGUAGAUAUUCGGAAGAACACCAGUGGCGAAGGCGACUACCUGGUCUGGCAUUGACGCUCAUGUGCGAAAGCGUGGGGAGCAAACAGGAUUAGAUACCCCAGUAGUCCCUGUCUCUUAUAC